GCUACACAUGCAGUCGAGCGGCAGCGGGUCCUUCGGGAUGCCGGCGAGCGGCGGACGGGUGAGUAAUGCCUAGGAAUCUGCCUGGUAGUGGGGGAUAACUCGGGGAAACUCGAGCUAAUACCGCAUACGUCCUACGGGAGAAAGCGGGGGAUCUUCGGACCUCGCGCUACCAGAUGAGCCUAGGUCGGAUUAGCUAGUUGGUGAGGUAAAGGCUCACCAAGGCGACGAUCCGUAGCUGGUCUGAGAGGAUGAUCAGCCACACUGGAACUGGGACACGGUCCAGACUCCUACGGGAGGCAGCAGUGGGGAAUAUUGGACAAUGGGCGAAAGCCUGAUCCAGCCAUGCCGCGUGUGUGAAGAAGGUCUUCGGAUUGUAAAGCACUUUAAGUUGGGAGGAAGGGCAGUAAGCUAAUACCUUGCUGUUUUGACGUUACCGACAGAAUAAGCACCGGCUAACUUCGUGCCAGCAGCCGCGGUAAUACGAAGGGUGCAAGCGUUAAUCGGAAUUACUGGGCGUAAAGCGCGCGUAGGUGGUUUGAUAAGUUGGAUGUGAAAGCCCCGGGCUCAACCUGGGAAUUGCAUCCAAAACUGUCUGGCUAGAGUAUGGCAGAGGGUGGUGGAAUUUCCUGUGUAGCGGUGAAAUGCGUAGAUAUAGGAAGGAACACCAGUGGCGAAGGCGACCACCUGGGCUAAUACUGACACUGAGGUGCGAAAGCGUGGGGAGCAUACAGGAUUAGAUACCCUGUAGUCCACGCCCUAAACGAUGAGAACUAGCCGUCU
This 780-nucleotide ribosomal RNA is filed under the name uncultured bacterium. RNAcentral describes it as "bacterial SSU rRNA". It matches the Rfam family "Bacterial small subunit ribosomal RNA", at positions 48 to 825 of the family's 1533-position model. The record is from RNAcentral.